RNAcentral lists this ribosomal RNA (1154 nucleotides) under uncultured Flavobacteriaceae bacterium. Its description in RNAcentral is "bacterial SSU rRNA". It matches the Rfam family "Bacterial small subunit ribosomal RNA", at positions 369 to 1533 of the family's 1533-position model. Lineage: Bacteria; Pseudomonadati; Bacteroidota; Flavobacteriia; Flavobacteriales; Flavobacteriaceae. The record is from RNAcentral.
UCAUGGACGAAAGUCUGAACCAGCCAUGCCGCGUGCAGGAUGACUGCCCUAUGGGUUGUAAACUGCUUUUAUAUAGGAAGAAAAACUUUCUCGUGAGAAAGCUUGACGGUACUAUAAGAAUAAGGAUCGGCUAACUCCGUGCCAGCAGCCGCGGUAAUACGGAGGAUCCAAGCGUUAUCCGGAAUCAUUGGGUUUAAAGGGUCCGUAGGUGGACAAAUAAGUCAGAGGUGAAAUCCUGCAGCUCAACUGUAGAACUGCCUUUGAUACUGUUUGUCUUGAGUUAUUAUGAAGUGGUUAGAAUGUGUAGUGUAGCGGUGAAAUGCAUAGAUAUUACACAGAAUACCGAUUGCGAAGGCAGAUCACUAAUAAUCAACUGACACUGAUGGACGAAAGCGUGGGUAGCGAACAGGAUUAGAUACCCUGGUAGUCCACGCCGUAAACGAUGGUCACUAGCUGUUUGGACUUCGGUCUGAGUGGCUAAGCGAAAGUGAUAAGUGACCCACCUGGGGAGUACGUUCGCAAGAAUGAAACUCAAAGGAAUUGACGGGGGCCCGCACAAGCGGUGGAGCAUGUGGUUCAAUUCGAUGAUACGCGAGGAACCUUACCAGGGCUUAAAUGUUAGGUGACAGAUCUAGAAAUAGAUUUUUCUUCGGACACUUAACAAGGUGCUGCAUGGUUGUCGUCAGCUCGUGCCGUGAGGUGUCAGGUUAAGUCCUAUAACGAGCGCAACCCCUGUUGUUAGUUGCCAGCGAGUAAUGUCGGGAACUCUAGCAAGACUGCCAGUGCAAACUGUGAGGAAGGUGGGGAUGACGUCAAAUCAUCACGGCCCUUACGUCCUGGGCUACACACGUGCUACAAUGGUAGGUACAGAGAGCAGCCAAUGCGCGAGCAUGAGCAAAUCUAUAAAACCUAUCUCAGUUCGGAUCGGAGUCUGCAACUCGACUCCGUGAAGCUGGAAUCGCUAGUAAUCGGAUAUCAGCCAUGAUCCGGUGAAUACGUUCCCGGGCCUUGUACACACCGCCCGUCAAGCCAUGGAAGUUGGGAGUGCCUGAAGUCCGUUUCCGCAAGGAUCGGCCUAGGGUAAAAUCGAUAACUAGGGCUAAGUCGUAACAAGGUAGCCGUACCGGAAGGUGCGGCUGGAACACCUCCUCUCU